UACGUAGGGUGCAAGCGUUAAUCGGAAUUACUGGGCGUAAAGAGCUCGUAGGCGGUUUGUCGCGUCUGCCGUGAAAGUCCGGGGCUUAACCCCGGAUCUGCGGUGGGUACGGGCAGACUAGAGUGCAGUAGGGGAGACUGGAAUUCCUGGUGUAGCGGUGAAAUGCGCAGAUAUCAGGAGGAACACCGAUGGCGAAGGCAGGUCUCUGGGCAUUAACUGACGCUGAGGAGCGAAAGCAUGGGGAGCAAACAGG
RNAcentral lists this ribosomal RNA (253 nucleotides) under uncultured bacterium. RNAcentral's name for it is "partial 16S ribosomal RNA". It matches the Rfam family "Bacterial small subunit ribosomal RNA", at positions 524 to 776 of the family's 1533-position model. The record is from RNAcentral.